CACAAUCUUUUUUUUUUACUAUCAAAUAUUAUGUGACUUUUAGUUAAUAGGGUUUAACCCUUUUGAACAAUAACGAAAAAUAAAACAGAUGCUACAGGAGAAAGGAAUUGUGUGGCGUGAGUCAAUGUUUCAGGUACUACGCCGGUACGUUUAUAUUUAUGUUGGAUCGGGUACCACGCCGAACGUUUUCCAGAGGCUUAGACACGACCUCACCUUUAGAGUUGAUAGAAGAUCUUGAUCAGAAGGGUGAGUAUUCCGUCUUCAGGUUGCCACGGGUCAUCUUAGUUAUUAUUGUCCAUCUUUCGGGCAAUGAAACAUUCUUUAUUUACUUUAUUUUUGGAUAUCACUUUAGAC
Long non-coding RNA from Capsicum annuum, 354 nucleotides. RefSeq lists it as uncharacterized. Lineage: Eukaryota; Viridiplantae; Streptophyta; Magnoliopsida; Solanales; Solanaceae. The transcript is spliced from 3 exons. The record is from RefSeq and is a predicted model, not a curated record.